AUGUGAAAGUAAUGGCUUGGCCAGCGUAGCACAAGACUCAAACCGGGUAAUCCCAGGGUCGGCAAACUACUAGGUGAUUCAAGGGAGGAUCGGUUACAACAGAAAAACACGGAAGGAUUUCCACUUUUCAACAGCACUUUAUUUGGGGUUUUGGUUCGUGUGGGUGUGGGUGUGUUGAGUGUAGGUUUUUCAGGGGCUAACAUACCGUGAUCCGCUCAGCUGAUGGUUCGCCUCCGGCGAUUGCGGGCCGGCAGAGGAGUUCGUCCAACCUCCACUCUGCGGCGGGAACUGCCCCAAGGGGGGGGGGGGGGGUAUUGUUGCUACUGACGGAUGCGGCGGCCCUUUGUUCUUGGCUGCGAGUCUGGUCUUCGGCGCCAGAUGCAGCGUUGUUCGCCGGCCUCUUUAGGCGGCGUCGGUUCUUCCGGCUUCCGUGCCGGGAUGAUGGACGACCAGCGGGCGUUGCUGUUUCCGGUGGGCAGGCGUCUUCCCUCAUUGGCUGAUCGGCAGCCCCAGAGUCCACUGAUGCGGGCAUGCCGAGAGGGGACCCUCCUUUGCGGUUAAGGCCAGCGGCCUGAGGGUGAUCGUCCUUGACGUUGAUGGCGCGGGGAGGCGCCAGACGACGGGGGUGGUCCUAUUACGGAUUAGACGUGGGAAGCUACCAGCACGGGAUUUACGCAACCCAGGCCGACCAAUCCGAGAUGGACGAGCUGCUCGCGGAAACCUCCUGGUUCCGCCGAUGGGAAGGGCGAUUGACGACCCUUCGCGGGAGCACGACUUGUCCACUCGGACGCCUGUUUGGAAGAGAGCGAUUUUCCCCAAAUCGACUUCCCUCAUCAGUUUAGCCCAAGUCCAUUUUCCCACCAUUUCCUUUCUGACGUAAGCAAAUGCGCCCGCAGGAAAUUGGUGGACAUCAGCCUCGCUUACACUGAUACGCUUCGCCCCAUCAAAACUGUUGUAGUGUAGUGUAAGUGGUAUAAAAUGCUGAGGCGAAGCUUCAAUUAUCCAGAAUUGUAACCAACGGUUACACUAUCCACUACCCCGGCGAAAAAAAUGUGAAUGCACGAAGUUCAAGAACAUUUUUUUAAUCGAACUGCUUUCCAAAAUCAUCUUCGGCACUCAUCAGGUUCGUGGUCUAGCGUACGUGGUCAAGUUCUUAUGUACAAGCCUCAUUUUAGGCAAAUAUGCACAUGUCCAUGUGAUAACCAAUCACAGAUUAUAUCACAGAGGUUUUUAUCAAAUCAGCCCAAUAGGCAAAAUAAAUAAAUUAAAUAAAUAAAUAAAUUAACAAUUAGACAUGCACUACAAAUUAAAAGAAUAAAUUAAAAUAAUUCCCAAAACAUUAGUAGACAACUCUAUUUACAAAUCGUGGCCACGAUGUUCAUUUUCAUGAACUAUUUACAUUUAAUCCAAUUUUAGAUCACAUUCGAUCUUAUUCGGAAAUUCACCACAAGGGUUCAUUCCUGACGGGCAAACUGAUUGACAGUCCCCGAAACGUCUCUAAUCUGUCAAACGUCAGCAUAUCGCAAUGUUUACACAUGCGAACAUGCAAAAGUAGUGCAAGUGAAAACGUAAAGUUUUAUCGGUGAAAAGUGUUGAAAACCUGCAGAAUUUUCAACGAACGUUAAGGUAAGUACAAAACAAAAUACAACAUAACGAAGCGCUUCUUUUAUAGGGUAAGUUGACUCAUUCUCGUCCAUCCCAGCGGGGAUUUGGACUGAGACGUGGAACAUCGCUGCCAGAACGAACUUUUUGGACAAAAAGUCGCCUGCAGGAGUCCACUAAUGGUCUUUGGGAUACCGUGCUAGCCAUCUUGUCGCGCAAGAUGAGCUACAGGCCUUUGCAAUUCUCGGGAGAUCCCCUCACCACAACACCACCAGCCGCGCUCGGACCGAGGGAAACGACGUUUUUAACCCCUUGAUCGUCCGCGAACUGGCCCGUUGGGCUAUGGAUUCCCGAUUUACCUGGUACUCUCAACGUUUCGGAAUGACUGCUGGGAUAUCGUGGUAAUCCAGACCGGCUGACUUGGUCCAGGGAAGAUGGGACAACGCCGCAAUAAACCCCUAGCACCCAAGUCGGUGCCGAUCUUGGCCACCGAUUUCCUUAGCAUCUCCUACUAAGUUUAAGUUCUAGAAUUAAGAAAAUUUAAAAAGAAAUUAGUUAAAAUAAAGCUUUUGGGUCGGGGCUUUCCCCUAUUUG
Molecule: long non-coding RNA, 2196 nt
Organism: Culex pipiens pallens (northern house mosquito)
Lineage: Eukaryota; Metazoa; Arthropoda; Insecta; Diptera; Culicidae
Exons: 3
Source: RefSeq, a predicted model, not a curated record